RNAcentral lists this unclassified non-coding RNA (568 nucleotides) under Metarhizium granulomatis. Its description in RNAcentral is "sequence contains 18S rRNA gene, ITS1, 5.8S rRNA gene, ITS2, 28S rRNA gene". The stretch from base 188 to 341 matches the Rfam family "5.8S ribosomal RNA". Lineage: Eukaryota; Fungi; Ascomycota; Sordariomycetes; Hypocreales; Clavicipitaceae. The record is from RNAcentral.
GAUCAUUACCGAGUUUACAACUCCCAAACCCCUGUGAACUUAUACCUUUUACCGUUGCUUCGGCGGGUCUUCGCCCCGGAACAGGCCCGCAAGGGCCGGCCCGGAACCAGGCGCCCGCCGGGGGACCUAAACUCUUGUAUUUUCUUUACUUCUGCAUGUCUGAGUGGAAUCAUACAAAAUGAAUCAAAACUUUCAACAACGGAUCUCUUGGUUCUGGCAUCGAUGAAGAACGCAGCGAAAUGCGAUAAGUAAUGUGAAUUGCAGAAUUCAGUGAAUCAUCGAAUCUUUGAACGCACAUUGCGCCCGCCAGUAUUCUGGCGGGCAUGCCUGUUCGAGCGUCAUUUCAACCCUCAAGCCCCCGGCGGCUUGGUGUUGGGGACCGGCGACCUCGUGCGCCGCCCCCGAAAUGAAUUGGCGGUCUCGUCCGCGGCCUCCUCUGCGUAGUAGCACAACCUCGCAACAGGAGCGCGGCGCGGCCACUGCCGUAAAACGCCCAACUUUUUCUUAGAGUUGACCUCGAAUCAGGUAGGAAUACCCGCUGAACUUAAGCAUAUCAAUAAGCGGAGGA